AUUGAACGCUGGCGGCAGGCCUAACACAUGCAAGUCGAACGGUAACAGGAAGAAGCUUUCUUCUUUGCUGACGAGUGGCGGACGGGUGAGUAAUGUCUGGGAAACUGCCUGAUGGAGGGGGAUAACUACUGGAAACGGUAGCUAAUACCGCAUAACGUCGCAAGACCAAAGAGGGGGACCUUCGGGCCUCUUGCCAUCGGAUGUGCCCAGAUGGGAUUAGCUAGUAGGUGGGGUAACGGCUCACCUAGGCGACGAUCCCUAGCUGGUCUGAGAGGAUGACCAGCCACACUGGAACUGAGACACGGUCCAGACUCCUACGGGAGGCAGCAGUGGGGAAUAUUGCACAAUGGGAGCAAGCCUGAUGCAGACAUGCCGCGUGUAUGAAGAAGGCCUUCGGGUUGUAAAGUACUUUCAGCGGGGAGGAAGGGAGUAAAGUUAAUACCUUCGCUAAUUGACGUUACCCGAAGAAGAAGCACCGGCUAACUCCGUG
Molecule: ribosomal RNA, 490 nt
Filed under: uncultured bacterium
Lineage: Bacteria
Description: partial 16S ribosomal RNA
Rfam family: Bacterial small subunit ribosomal RNA
Source: RNAcentral